CACUCCUGGGGAACCUGAGGGACCUGAGGCGCUGGGAGUCCCUGUUGGGAGGCGGGGAAACUCCAGCUCUGGCUAGCAGCUCUGUACUGCUCUGCUUCUUAGCGGUCCCCUCCCACGCCCAGAGGAUUUCACUGGGCACCGGAGAGUCCGCUAAGGGGGAGUGGCACCUUUCCUGCAUCACCUCAAACCUGGACAGCUGAGACCACAAUCAAGCUAGCAUCGCGGGAAGGACAGACAGAAAGACAGUUAAGGCCUGCGCUGGAAGCAGAAACUGAGUUUUCCUGCCCUGCCGCGAGAAGACCCACGUCCUGCCCCCACCCCAGGAAAUUUGCAGUGACUUUGGAGCCCAGACUGAGGAAGCCGAGGUGGCGAAAGGAGAGACAAUACGGUCCCGAAGUACAAUUAAGGAGCCAGAGCUGCUCCUCUCUCCCCCGCCCUCCUUGCCAGACUGCGAGCUGUCUGGUCUCCAACCUCUGGGCGACUCGCGAACCUGGAGCCAGAAACUCAGCCCGAGGCGGAGGGCGCCAGAGGACUCCGCACCCAGAAAACCAGGAGGGAAGCUGCCUUCCAACCUGGGGGGCACCGUAACCAGCCCCGCUGAGAUGCAGCGAAUCCAAUGAAUGAAUGUGCACAUUCCGACGACGAAUUUUCCCGAAUUUUCUCAGCCUUUGGAAGGAGAGCCCAGGGUUUGGGACAUCUCAGACAGACAGUCAGACAGACAGGCAAACCGCAUCUCCUGAGGCAGACAGGCUCACAACAUGAGUGUGAGCCUGAAAUCAUAUACAGGUUCAACAUUCCCGAGGCCUCUUUGCCCGGCCUGGCGGGCGCCGAUCUCUCCUACCUUCACUCCUGCCAGGGCCUCAGGCAGAGACCCAUAGGACUCGGUCCCGCUGGC
RNAcentral lists this long non-coding RNA (895 nucleotides) under Heterocephalus glaber (naked mole-rat). RNAcentral's name for it is "lncRNA (ENSHGLG00100043972.1)". The record is from RNAcentral. Lineage: Eukaryota; Metazoa; Chordata; Mammalia; Rodentia; Bathyergidae.